UGAACGCUGGCGGCAUGCCUUACACAUGCAAGUCGAACGGUAACGGGCCUUCGGGUGCCGACGAGUGGCGAACGGGUGAGUAAUACAUCGGAACGUGCCCGAUCGUGGGGGAUAACGAGGCGAAAGCUUUGCUAAUACCGCAUACGAUCUACGGAUGAAAGCAGGGGACCGCAAGGCCUUGCGCGGACGGAGCGGCCGAUGGCAGAUUAGGUAGUUGGUGGGAUAAAAGCUUACCAAGCCGACGAUCUGUAGAUGGUCUGAGAGGAUGAUCAGCCACACUGGGACUGAGACACGGCCCAGACUCCUACGGGAGGCAGCAGUGGGGAAUUUUGGACAAUGGGCGCAAGCCUGAUCCAGCCAUGCCGCGUGCAGGAUGAAGGCCUUCGGGUUGUAAACUGCUUUUGUACGGAACGAAAAGCCUUCUUUUAAUACAGGAGGGUCAUGACGGUACCGGAAGAAUAAGCACCGGCUAACUACGUG
This 480-nucleotide ribosomal RNA is filed under the name uncultured bacterium. Its description in RNAcentral is "partial 16S ribosomal RNA". It matches the Rfam family "Bacterial small subunit ribosomal RNA", at positions 30 to 507 of the family's 1533-position model. The record is from RNAcentral.